CUCAGAGAACGUUGCAACAUCCAGUUGUCUACCAACUAUGAAUUUAGUGAUCCUAUUAUGUCUUCUUCUGGGCACUUUCUCAUGUGUCUUCUCACAAGUGACCCUCACAGAGUCUGGUCCAGGAAUUCUUAAACCUUCUGAAACUCUUCAAAUGACCUGUAAAGUUUCCACCUCUCUAAGUGGUUACUGGUGGCACUGGGUCCGCCAACCACUUGGAGGAGGUUUAGAGUGGUUAGCCCAAAUACAUUAUGAUGGAAGCACUUAUUACUCCCAGUCCCUGCGCAGUCGUCUGACAAUUACAAGGGAUAACGCCAAGAAUGAAUUCUCUUUAAAAGUGACUGACAUGCAGCCUAAAGACAGUGCAAUAUAUUACUGUGCAAGAGACACAGUAAGAAAAUAAUGUGAGAAACCAUGG
This is a non-coding RNA of Pelobates fuscus (common spadefoot toad), 415 nucleotides long. NCBI's taxonomy places the organism in Eukaryota, Metazoa, Chordata, Amphibia, Anura, Pelobatidae. The record is from the annotation of a RefSeq genome assembly.